Molecule: long non-coding RNA, 686 nt
Organism: Alligator sinensis (Chinese alligator)
Lineage: Eukaryota; Metazoa; Chordata; Crocodylia; Alligatoridae
Exons: 3
Source: RefSeq, a predicted model, not a curated record
CUCUCCCUGCCAGCCCCAGCCCUGGGGCUUGGAUGUCUUCAGGGCCCUGAAUCUUUCUGGUCAGGGAACAGGACAAGAUGCUUUACCUUGAAAUGGGCUGCUUCCUGGUUGAGGCUGCAGUGCCAUCGGGGUCAGGUUGGCAGCCAGCUGCUCCCAACUCUUGAAGGUUUUCUUCAGGUAGGAAGCUGGUCCCACUGGGGUGAAUAAGUCCAGGCUUACUGGAGAGAGAUCUUCAUGGGGCUCCACCUCCCCUACACCCUGCUCUUAUCACAUCCAGGAUGUUCUUCAGCACUGUGCACUGGGAUGCAGCCCCCUUCCCUUCAGGCUGCAUGUGAUGGUCUUCUCUGGGGGUGUCUGGCAUCUAUGUCAGACCCCUUUUUGUUGAGUUUUGGCUAAGCCACUCAGCAGGGCUAUUGAAGUCUUUAUCAGUAAUUCAACUAGGUCUCCUGAUGUCUCCUCCUAGUAGUGCCAAACACAAUCCUCAUCACUCAUUGUGCAUGUGUUCCUCCAUCUAUCAAUUAAUUUUAAUAGUACCAUCACUAUCAAAACCAAUUCAAUAAACAAGUAUUGUCAUUGGAGUGAAUUCCCUUCACACUCUAUCUAUUUCCUUGUUCAACAGUUCUGAAGGAAACCAAAACAAUGAAGAAUUAAUUUAAAUUCCCUCAUGUACCUGAUGUAGUUCCCCU